RNAcentral lists this ribosomal RNA (197 nucleotides) under uncultured bacterium. Its description in RNAcentral is "partial 16S ribosomal RNA". It matches the Rfam family "Bacterial small subunit ribosomal RNA", at positions 328 to 539 of the family's 1533-position model. The record is from RNAcentral.
ACGCUCGACACCUACGGAGGCAGCAGUGGGGAAUAUUGCACAAUGGGGGAAACCCUGAUGCAGCGACGCCGCGUGAGCGAAGAAGUAUUUCGGUAUGUAAAGCUCUAUCAGCAGGGAAGAAAAUGACGGUACCUGACUAAGAAGCCCCGGCUAACUACGUGGCAGCAGCCGCGGUAAUCUGAGCGGGCUGGCAAGGC